This 253-nucleotide ribosomal RNA is filed under the name uncultured bacterium. RNAcentral describes it as "partial 16S ribosomal RNA". It matches the Rfam family "Bacterial small subunit ribosomal RNA", at positions 524 to 776 of the family's 1533-position model. The record is from RNAcentral.
UACGAAGGGAGCUAGCGUUGUUCGGAAUCACUGGGCGUAAAGCGCACGUAGGCGGAUGUGUCAGUCAGGGGUGAAAUCCCGGAGCUCAACUUCGGAACUGCCCUUGAUACAGCACGUCUUGAGUCCGGAAGAGGUGGGUGGAAUUCCUAGUGUAGAGGUGAAAUUCGUAGAUAUUAGGAAGAACACCGGUGGCGAAGGCGGCCCACUGGUCCGGUACUGACGCUGAGGUGCGAAAGCGUGGGUAGCAAACAGG